AGUGUUAUGCCUGAUAAAAGGAAUAAAUUGUAAAUUUAUAAAUGAAAAAUAAUUUCUAAUACUA
RNAcentral lists this transfer RNA (64 nucleotides) under Ceratina okinawana. Its description in RNAcentral is "tRNA-Tyr". Lineage: Eukaryota; Metazoa; Arthropoda; Insecta; Hymenoptera; Apidae. The record is from RNAcentral.